This 213-nucleotide long non-coding RNA is filed under the name Gossypium raimondii (Peruvian cotton). RNAcentral describes it as "long non-coding RNA (GRAI_LNC008925)". The record is from RNAcentral. Lineage: Eukaryota; Viridiplantae; Streptophyta; Magnoliopsida; Malvales; Malvaceae.
UAACAUGGCAUAAACGUAGACUGUGACGUGGAUACCAUAUCAGCAAAGCUAGCAGACGUUAACUUUUUCAUCCAUUUUGUGAUAAUUUGACAAACAAUACAAAUUUUAAAACUAAAAGAGAUGAAAAAUUAAAUGUAGAAGUAAAAUAAUUUAUUUUUUUAUGCCUUGUUAUUUAAACGAAACUACAUAUGAUUUUUUAUCCUAUUAUCCCCA